AAUAGAUACCCGGGUAGUCCACGCCGUAAACGAUGAGUGCUAAGUGUUAGAGGGUUUCCGCCCUUUAGUGCUGAAGUUAACGCAUUAAGCACUCCGCCUGGGGAGUACGGUCGCAAGACUGAAACUCAAAGGAAUUGACGGGGGCCCGCACAAGCGGUGGAGCAUGUGGUUUAAUUCGAAGCAACGCGAAGAACCUUACCAGGUCUUGACAUCCUCUGACAACCCUAGAGAUAGGGCUUUCCCUUCGGGGACAGAGUGACAGGUGGUGCAUGGUUGUCGUCAGCUCGUGUCGUGAGAUGUUGGGUUAAGUCCCGCAACGAGCGCAACCCUUGAUCUUAGUUGCCAGCAUUUAGUUGGGCACUCUAAGGUGACUGCCGGUGACAAACCGGAGGAAGGUGGGGAUGACGUCAAAUCAUCAUGCCCCUUAUGACCUGGGCUACACACGUGCUACAAUGGACGGUACAAAGAGUCGCAAGACCGCGAGGUGGAGCUAAUCUCAUAAAACCGUUCUCAGUUCGGAUUGUAGG
This 527-nucleotide ribosomal RNA is filed under the name uncultured bacterium. RNAcentral describes it as "bacterial SSU rRNA". It matches the Rfam family "Bacterial small subunit ribosomal RNA", at positions 777 to 1304 of the family's 1533-position model. The record is from RNAcentral.